Solanum lycopersicum (tomato) is the source of this 570-nucleotide long non-coding RNA. RefSeq lists it as uncharacterized. NCBI's taxonomy places the organism in Eukaryota, Viridiplantae, Streptophyta, Magnoliopsida, Solanales, Solanaceae. The record is from RefSeq and is a predicted model, not a curated record.
AAAUUUUCUUUUUCAAAUCAGAACUUAAUGAACAAGUUGUUUGCAGAUAUUUAACUGCGCAUUUGGUCUUUUCCAACAUUUUUAUGGAAGAUGUCCAUUUUUUCCACAGUGCGUACAAUGUGGGUAGUUUUUCAAAAAUUUACUCUUUCUUUGAGUUUUGUGGAUAGCUAUUAAUGGUCCUUUAACCAUAUCAUCUUUCCUCAUAAGUCUUUUUUAAUCCUAUGCCUGCAAAGAAUUUAACAAUUCUGCAAAGCGAAUAGAUUUCAUAAUCCUCUUCCAUGGCCCCAAAGAUCAAGAUUCUCCAUGUUCAGGUUCCCAGUAUCCAGAUCACGCAGAGAUCAAUUUCGUGAUCGCUAGUUCAGCAAAUUCAGUGGUGAGUCCUUAUACUCCGAGGAUAACAGUCAUGAGUUUCAUUUCAGUCAUUAGUCAUUUGGUUUUAGUUUUUGCUAUAUUUAAAUGGGGGCUUGUCCUAGUAUUUCUACUUUAGUUUACAGGCUAUUUUCCGAAAUAGGUAGAUUCAGCUUAGUAUUGAGUUAGUAUUUCUUUUGUAUUAAACUCAUUGUUUUCAAA